CUCCAUCAUCUAGAACCGGGCGCUUCCUAACCUAACUCUGCCCCUGCAUCGUUGCCGGCUCCUGAACUGCUAUAGCGCCUCGCUUCUUCCGAAGUGCCUGCUGCACCGAUACUCCUGAAUCAACACCGUACCGCUGAGUAACAAUCUCGCACAUCCUCUGCAAAAUUACAUCCUGCUGCCUGAUCAUCUCAGUCAGAGCAGUCAACUGCUCUCUCAGAUCCGG
Molecule: long non-coding RNA, 223 nt
Filed under: Ananas comosus (pineapple)
Lineage: Eukaryota; Viridiplantae; Streptophyta; Magnoliopsida; Poales; Bromeliaceae
Description: long non-coding RNA (ACOM_LNC034318)
Source: RNAcentral